Molecule: microRNA precursor, 71 nt
Filed under: Myotis davidii
Lineage: Eukaryota; Metazoa; Chordata; Mammalia; Chiroptera; Vespertilionidae
Description: mir-9193 microRNA precursor family
Rfam family: mir-9193 microRNA precursor family
Source: Rfam by way of RNAcentral
CUAGAGGGGGUGUCCCUCAGCCCAGAUUGCAAGAGGGUGCAGGCCAGGCUGAGGGACCCAACUGGUGCACG